Molecule: ribosomal RNA, 156 nt
Filed under: Macrotyphula phacorrhiza
Lineage: Eukaryota; Fungi; Basidiomycota; Agaricomycetes; Agaricales; Phyllotopsidaceae
Description: 5.8S ribosomal RNA
Rfam family: 5.8S ribosomal RNA
About the family: 5.8S ribosomal RNA (5.8S rRNA) is a component of the large subunit of the eukaryotic ribosome. It is transcribed by RNA polymerase I as part of the 45S precursor that also contains 18S and 28S rRNA. Functionally, it is thought that 5.8S rRNA may be involved in ribosome translocation.
Source: RNAcentral
AUUUUUAACAAUGGAUCUCUUGGCUCUCGCAUCGAUGAAGAACGCAGCGAAAUGCGAUAAGUAAUGUGAAUUGCAGAUUUCAGUGAAUCAUCGAAUCUUUGAACGCACCUUGCGCUCCUUGGUAUUCCGAGGAGCAUGCCUGUUUGAGUGUCAUUA